Molecule: transfer RNA, 70 nt
Filed under: Candidatus Omnitrophota bacterium
Lineage: Bacteria; Pseudomonadati; Candidatus Omnitrophota
Description: Candidatus Omnitrophica bacterium tRNA-Val
Rfam family: tRNA (bases 10-70)
About the family: Transfer RNA (tRNA) molecules are approximately 80 nucleotides in length. Their secondary structure includes four short double-helical elements and three loops (D, anti-codon, and T loops). Further hydrogen bonds mediate the characteristic L-shaped molecular structure. tRNAs have two regions of fundamental functional importance: the anti-codon, which is responsible for specific mRNA codon recognition, and the 3' end, to which the tRNAs corresponding amino acid is attached (by aminoacyl-tRNA synthetases). tRNAs cope with the degeneracy of the genetic code in two manners: having more than one tRNA (with a specific anti-codon) for a particular amino acid; and 'wobble' base-pairing, i.e. permitting non-standard base-pairing at the 3rd anti-codon position.
Source: RNAcentral
GAGCGUCGGGGUUGGUUAGAGCGCUACACUCACAUUGUAGAGGUCAGAGGUUCAAGUCCUCUAAUGCCCA